This 377-nucleotide long non-coding RNA is filed under the name Homo sapiens (human). RNAcentral's name for it is "HSALNT0198091". The record is from RNAcentral. Lineage: Eukaryota; Metazoa; Chordata; Mammalia; Primates; Hominidae.
GUGCUGUAAGUGCUGGGAUUACAGGUGCCACUGUGCCUGGCCCCCUUUUCACUUUCCUGAUGGCACUGUUUGCAAUGCAAAAGUUUUUAAUUUUGAUGUAGUCCAGUUUAUUUAUUUAUUUUUCCUUUUCUUCCCUGUGCGUUUGGUAUCUUACCUAAGAAACUGCCUAACAUAAGGCCAUUAAGAUUUAGGCCUAUGUUUUCUUCUAAGAGUUUUAUAUUGUUAGCUCUUACAUUUAGGUCUAUGGCUCAUUUUGAGUUAAUUGUUGUGUUUGGUGUCAAGCAGAAGUCCACCUUCAUUCCACUCCAAGUAUUCUCUCCCUUUUCCGGUUUUUUUUCUUUCUUUUGGGGACAAUUUGUGAAAGCUAUCUUUCUUAA